This 487-nucleotide ribosomal RNA is filed under the name Fusarium acuminatum. RNAcentral's name for it is "eukaryotic LSU rRNA". The stretch from base 157 to 310 matches the Rfam family "5.8S ribosomal RNA". Lineage: Eukaryota; Fungi; Ascomycota; Sordariomycetes; Hypocreales; Nectriaceae. The record is from RNAcentral.
CAUUACCGAGUUUACAACUCCCAAACCCCUGUGAACAUACCUUAAUGUUGCCUCGGCGGAUCAGCCCGCGCCCCGUAAAACGGGACGGCCCGCCAGAGGACCCAAACUCUAAUGUUUCUUAUUGUAACUUCUGAGUAAAACAAACAAAUAAAUCAAAACUUUCAACAACGGAUCUCUUGGUUCUGGCAUCGAUGAAGAACGCAGCAAAAUGCGAUAAGUAAUGUGAAUUGCAGAAUUCAGUGAAUCAUCGAAUCUUUGAACGCACAUUGCGCCCGCUGGUAUUCCGGCGGGCAUGCCUGUUCGAGCGUCAUUUCAACCCUCAAGCCCCCGGGUUUGGUGUUGGGGAUCGGCUCUGCCCUUCUGGGCGGUGCCGCCCCCGAAAUACAUUGGCGGUCUCGCUGCAGCCUCCAUUGCGUAGUAGCUAACACCUCGCAACUGGAACGCGGCGCGGCCAUGCCGUAAAACCCCAACUUCUGAAUGUGACCUC